Molecule: long non-coding RNA, 482 nt
Filed under: Homo sapiens (human)
Lineage: Eukaryota; Metazoa; Chordata; Mammalia; Primates; Hominidae
Description: non-protein coding lnc-FOXD4L5-45:1
Source: RNAcentral
CUUUUAGUGAACACAAAUUGAGAAUUUAGCACUGAAUCUCCAAAGAUUUAGUUUUUAUCUAGGUUUUGAAAUUGAAUUUUGUUUUGUUUUGUUUUUUGUUUUGAGACAGUGUCGCUCUGUCGCCCAGGCUGGAGUGCAGCCGCGCAAUCUCGGCUCACUGCAGGCUCCGCCCCCCGGGUUCACGCCAUUCUCUCGCCUCAGCCUCCCGAGUAGCUGGGACUACAGGCGCCCGGCGAAUUUUUUGUAUUUUUUGUAGAGACGGGGUUUCACCGUGCAAGUAUCAUACUUACUAUAUGUUUUUUAUCUUCUGUGUAUUUUGAAAAUGUAAGAGCAUUAUUGUCUUAUACAAAAUAGGUGCUAGCAGAGUGAAGAGACAACCAAUCUUUGAAGCUUUGGCACUGUAAUAUAUGAAGGCCAGAAGCCACAUUUAUAUAGUUCCGUUUCUUGAGCAUCCAAGACAAUGGAUGAGAUGACAGUGUUGA